Molecule: ribosomal RNA, 1333 nt
Filed under: Sasakia funebris
Lineage: Eukaryota; Metazoa; Arthropoda; Insecta; Lepidoptera; Nymphalidae
Description: large subunit ribosomal RNA
Source: RNAcentral
AGGGGUAAAAUUAAUAAAACAUAAAAAAUAAUAGAAAAAAAUUUAUUAUUAAAAAUAUAUAAUGGGGGUUAAAGUAUUUUUAAUAGAAAAAAUUUAUAAAUUUAUAAUUUAGUAGUAUUGUAAAAGAAAUUUAAAAUAAAUGAAAUAUAGAAUUUAAGUAAAAGUAAAUUUAAUUUAUUGUAUCUUGUGUAUCAGAGUUUAUUAAAUAAAAAUUUUUGUAUAAGAAGUUCUCGAAUUUAAAAGAGUUAAUUAAUUAAAAAAGUUAAUGUUGAAUAAUUAUUUUAAAUAAUUAAUUAGAAAUGAAAUGUUAAUCGUUUUUAAAUAUAUCUAGUUUUUUUAGAAAAAAAUUUAAUUUUAAAUUAAAAUAAUUUAAUAAUUAAUUAAUUAAUUAUUAAAAUUUAAAAUUUAAUAUUUUAAGGGAUAAGCUUUAAAUUAAAAAUUUAUAAUAAUUAAUUUAUAAUUGAAAUUUUUAAUAUUUAUAUUGUUUAAAAAUUAUAAUUUUUUAUAAAAAAUUUCAAUUAAAUUAAAAUUUAAAAUAAAAUUUAAUUUUUUAUAAAAAAAUUAUUUUAAAUAAUUAAAAGUUAGAAAUAAUGAUAAAAUUAGUAUAAAAUAUAAAAGAAAAGUAAAAUUUAAUUAAAAUUAAAUUAAAGGAAUUCGGCAAAAAUUUAUAUUCACUUGUUUAUCAAAAACAUGUCUUUUUGAUAAAUAAUUUAAAGUCUAAUCUGCCCACUGAUAUUAAUUAAAGGGCUGCAGUAUAUUGACUGUACAAAGGUAGCAUAAUCAAUAGUCUUUUAAUUGAAGACUUGUAUGAAAGAUUUGAUGAAAUAUAAACUGUCUCUAUUUUAUUAAUAAAAAUUAAUAUUUUAGUUAAAAAGCUAAAAUAAAAUUAAAAGACGAGAAGACCCUAUAGAGUUUAAUAUUUGAUUUUAUUAUAUUAAAAUAUAUAAUUAAUUAAUAAAAUAAAGUAAAAUAUUUUAUUGGGGUGAUGAAAAAAUUUGAUAAACUUUUUUUUUUAUAAAACAUAAAUAAAUGACUAAAUGAUCCAUAAUAUUAUGAUUAUAAGAAAAAAUUACCUUAGGGAUAACAGCGUAAUAUUUUUUUUUAGUACAAAUAAAAAAAAAAGUUUGCGACCUCGAUGUUGGAUUAAGAUAAAAAUUAAAUGCAAAAGUUUAAAUUUUUGAUCUGUUCGAUCAUUAAAAUCUUACAUGAUCUGAGUUCAAACCGGUGUAAGCCAGGUUGGUUUCUAUCUUUAAUAAAAUUUAAUAUUUUAGUACGAAAGGAUCAAAUAUUAAAAAUAAUUUUAUUUAAUUUGAAUAUUAUUAAUAUUAUUAUA